GACGUAGGGUGCGAGCGUUGUCCGGAAUUAUUGGGCGUAAAGAGCUCGUAGGCGGCCUGUCACGUCGGUUGUGAAAGCCCGGGGCUUAACCCCGGGUCUGCAGUCGAUACGGGCAGGCUAGAGUUCGGUAGGGGAGAUCGGAAUUCCUGGUGUAGCGGUGAAAUGCGCAGAUAUCAGGAGGAACACCGGUGGCGAAGGCGGAUCUCUGGGCCGAUACUGACGCUGAGGAGCGAAAGCGUGGGGAGCGAACAGG
This 253-nucleotide ribosomal RNA is filed under the name uncultured bacterium. RNAcentral describes it as "partial 16S ribosomal RNA". It matches the Rfam family "Bacterial small subunit ribosomal RNA", at positions 524 to 776 of the family's 1533-position model. The record is from RNAcentral.